RNAcentral lists this ribosomal RNA (461 nucleotides) under uncultured bacterium. RNAcentral describes it as "partial 16S ribosomal RNA". It matches the Rfam family "Bacterial small subunit ribosomal RNA", at positions 29 to 507 of the family's 1533-position model. The record is from RNAcentral.
ACGAACGCUGGCGGCGUGCUUAACACAUGCAAGUCGAGCGGAAAGGCCCUUCGGGGUACUCGAGCGGCGAACGGGUGAGUAACACGUGAGUAACCUGCCCCAGACUUUGGGAUAACCCUCGGAAACGGGGGCUAAUACCGGAUACGACACAGCUUCGCAUGGGGUCUGUGUGGAAAGUUUUUUGGUUUGGGAUGGGCUCGCGGCCUAUCAGCUUGUUGGUGGGGUGAUGGCCUACCAAGGCGACGACGGGUAGCCGGCCUGAGAGGGCGACCGGCCACACUGGGACUGAGACACGGCCCAGACUCCUACGGGAGGCAGCAGUGGGGAAUAUUGCACAAUGGGCGGAAGCCUGAUGCAGCGACGCCGCGUGAGGGAUGACGGCCUUCGGGUUGUAAACCUCUUUCAGCAGGGACGAAGCGUAAGUGACGGUACCUGCAGAAGAAGCGCCGGCCAACUACGUG